RNAcentral lists this ribosomal RNA (487 nucleotides) under Heptischius lactuca. RNAcentral describes it as "partial 16S ribosomal RNA". It matches the Rfam family "Bacterial large subunit ribosomal RNA", at positions 1886 to 2597 of the family's 2925-position model. Lineage: Eukaryota; Metazoa; Arthropoda; Diplopoda; Spirostreptida; Harpagophoridae. The record is from RNAcentral.
GGUUUUUUGGAGUUAAAUAAAAAAUCAGACCUGCCCACUGAUGAAGGGCUGCAGUAUUUUGACUGUACAAAGGUAGCAUAAUCAUUAGUCUUUUAAUUGGAGACUGGUAUGAAAGGUUAGACGGAAAUAAUCUAUCUUAAGUGUAAUAGUGAAUUUUAUUUUUAAGGAAAAGAGCUUAAAUAUAACAGUGGGACGAGAAGACCCUAUUAAAUUUAAUAUAUUUAUUUACUUUUAAUUGAAUGAAAAUGUUAGAUUUUUAUUAAUUUUGCUGGGGCGGCAAAUAAGAAACUUUAUUUAUAUUUAAUAUGGUGAGUAACGAAUUUUUGAUCCAAAUGGAUUGAUAUAAGACAUAAUUACUAUAGGGAUAACAGCGUAAUAUUUUUUAAGAGUUCUUAUUGACAAAAGUGUUUGCGACCUCGAUGUUGGAUUAAGAAGUCUUAUUGGUGCAGAAGUUUUUGGAGAGGGUCUGUUCGACCUUUAAAUUCUU